ACGGGUGAGUAAUGUCUGGGAAACUGCCCGAUGGAGGGGGAUAACUACUGGAAACGGUAGCUAAUACCGCAUAACGUCGCAAGACCAAAGAGGGGGACCUUCGGGCCUCUUGCCAUCGGAUGUGCCCAGAUGGGAUUAGCUAGUAGGUGGGGUAACGGCUCACCUAGGCGACGAUCCCUAGCUGGUCUGAGAGGAUGACCAGCCACACUGGAACUGAGACACGGUCCAG
Molecule: ribosomal RNA, 229 nt
Filed under: uncultured bacterium
Lineage: Bacteria
Description: partial 16S ribosomal RNA
Rfam family: Bacterial small subunit ribosomal RNA
Source: RNAcentral